Molecule: transfer RNA, 69 nt
Filed under: Candida tropicalis
Lineage: Eukaryota; Fungi; Ascomycota; Pichiomycetes; Serinales; Debaryomycetaceae
Description: tRNA-Cys
Source: RNAcentral
CAUCAUGUUAGCUGGUGUUACGAGCUUAUUGCAGAUAAGCUUACUAGGGUUCAAUUCCCUACAUGAUGU